AGAGUUUGAUCAUGGCUCAGAUUGAACGCUGGCGGCAGGCCUAACACAUGCAAGUCGAACGGUAACAGGAAUCAGCUUGCUGAUUCGCUGACGAGUGGCGGACGGGUGAGUAAUGUCUGGGAAACUGCCUGAUGGAGGGGGAUAACUACUGGAAACGGUAGCUAAUACCGCAUAAUGUCGCAAGACCAAAGAGGGGGACCUUCGGGCCUCUUGCCAUCGGAUGUGCCCAGAUGGGAUUAGCUAGUAGGUGGGGUAACGGCUCACCUAGGCGACGAUCCCUAGCUGGUCUGAGAGGAUGACCAGCCACACUGGAACUGAGACACGGUCCAGACUCCUACGGGAGGCAGCAGUGGGGAAUAUUGCACAAUGGGCGCAAGCCUGAUGCAGCCAUGCCGCGUGUAUGAAGAAGGCCUUCGGGUUGUAAAGUACUUUCAGCGGGGAGGAAGGGAGUAAAGUUAAUACCUUUGCUCAUUGACGUUACCCGCAGAAGAAGCACCGGCUAACUCCGUGCCAGCAGCCGCGGUAAUACGGAGGGUGCAAGCGUUAAUCGGAAUUACUGGGCGUAAAGCGCACGCAGGCGGUUUGUUAAGUCAGAUGUGAAAUCCCCGGGCUCAACCUGGGAACUGCAUCUGAUACUGGCAAGCUUGAGUCUCGUAGAGGGGGGUAGAAUUCCAGGUGUAGCGGUGAAAUGCGUAGAGAUCUGGAGGAAUACCGGUGGCGAAGGCGGCCCCCUGGACGAAGACUGACGCUCAGGUGCGAAAGCGUGGGGAGCAAACAGGAUUAGAUACCCUGGUAGUCCACGCCGUAAACGAUGUCGACUUGGAGGUUGUGCCCUUGAGGCGUGGCUUCCGGAGCUAACGCGUUAAGUCGACCGCCUGGGGAGUACGGCCGCAAGGUUAAAACUCAAAUGAAUUGACGGGGGCCCGCACAAGCGGUGGAGCAUGUGGUUUAAUUCGAUGCAACGCGAAGAACCUUACCUGGUCUUGACAUCCACGGAAGUUUUCAGAGAUGAGAAUGUGCCUUCGGGAACCGUGAGACAGGUGCUGCAUGGCUGUCGUCAGCUCGUGUUGUGAAAUGUUGGGUUAAGUCCCGCAACGAGCGCAACCCUUAUCCUUUGUUGCCAGCGGUCCGGCCGGGAACUCAAAGGAGACUGCCAGUGAUAAACUGGAGGAAGGUGGGGAUGACGUCAAGUCAUCAUGGCCCUUACGACCAGGGCUACACACGUGCUACAAUGGCGCAUACAAAGAGAAGCGACCUCGCGAGAGCAAGCGGACCUCAUAAAGUGCGUCGUAGUCCGGAUUGGAGUCUGCAACUCGACUCCAUGAAGUCGGAAUCGCUAGUAAUCGUGGAUCAGAAUGCCACGGUGAAUACGUUCCCGGGCCUUGUACACACCGCCCGUCACACCAUGGGAGUGGGUUGCAAAAGAAGUAGGUAGCUUAACCUUCGGGAGGGCGCUUACCACUUUGUGAUUCAUGACUGGGGUGAAGUCGUAACAAGGUAACCGUAGGGGAACCUGCGGUUG
This 1522-nucleotide ribosomal RNA is filed under the name Escherichia coli. RNAcentral's name for it is "bacterial SSU rRNA". It matches the Rfam family "Bacterial small subunit ribosomal RNA". RNAcentral also lists the same sequence under 2 other names. The record is from RNAcentral. Lineage: Bacteria; Pseudomonadati; Pseudomonadota; Gammaproteobacteria; Enterobacterales; Enterobacteriaceae.